This 253-nucleotide ribosomal RNA is filed under the name uncultured bacterium. RNAcentral's name for it is "partial 16S ribosomal RNA". It matches the Rfam family "Bacterial small subunit ribosomal RNA", at positions 524 to 776 of the family's 1533-position model. The record is from RNAcentral.
UACGGAGGGUGCAAGCGUUAAUCGGAAUUACUGGGCGUAAAGCGCACGCAGGUGGCUGAGUCAGUCGAUUGUGAAAGCCCUGGGCUUAACCUGGGAAUUGCAGUCGAUACUACUCAGCUAGAGUAUGGGAGAGGGUAGUGGAAUUCCCGGUGUAGCGGUGAAAUGCGUAGAUAUCGGGAGGAACAUCAGUGGCGAAGGCGGCUACCUGGCACAAUACUGACACUCAGGUGCGACAGCGUGGGGAGCAAACAGG